Molecule: ribosomal RNA, 252 nt
Filed under: uncultured bacterium
Lineage: Bacteria
Description: partial 16S ribosomal RNA
Rfam family: Bacterial small subunit ribosomal RNA
Source: RNAcentral
GACGGAGGGUGCAAGCGUUGCUCGGAAUCACUGGGCGUAAAGGGUGCGUAGGCGGUCUGUCACGUCUGCUGUGAAAACUCGGGGCUUACCCCGGGCCUGCAGUGGGUACGGGCAGACUAGAGUGCGGUAGGGGAGACUGGAAUUCCUGGUGUAGCGGUGAAAUGCGCAGAUAUCAGGAGGAACACCGGUGGCGAAGGCGGGUCUCUGGGCCGUAACUGACGCUGAGGAGCGAAAGCGUGGGGAGCGAACAGG